RNAcentral lists this ribosomal RNA (500 nucleotides) under uncultured bacterium. Its description in RNAcentral is "bacterial SSU rRNA". It matches the Rfam family "Bacterial small subunit ribosomal RNA", at positions 24 to 518 of the family's 1533-position model. The record is from RNAcentral.
UCAGGAUAAACGCUGGCGGCGUGCCUAAUACAUGCAAGUCGAUCGCUGGACUUCCAGCUUGCUGGAAUGAAGGAGAGGCGAACGGGUGAGUAAUACAUAAGCAACCUGCCCACGAAGACUGGGAUAAUCCUGGAAACGGGGACUAAUACCGGAUAGGUAGUGUGAUCGCAUGAUCGCACUAUUAAAGGUUCAAGACACUGGUGGAUGGGCUUAUGGCGCAUUAGCUGGUUGGUGAGGUAACGGCCCACCAAGGCGAUGAUGCGUAGCCGGCCUGAGAGGGUGAACGGCCACAUUGGGACUGAGACACGGCCCAGACUCCUACGGGAGGCAGCAGUAGGGAAUUUUCGGCAAUGGGCGCAAGCCUGACCGAGCAACGCCGCGCGAGUGAAGACGGCCUUCGGGUUGUAAAGCUCUGUUGUAAGGGAAGAAUUGGCAUGAGAGAAUCGUGCAGUGACGGUACCUUACCAGAAAGCCACGGCUAACUACGUGCCAGCCGCCGC